Molecule: ribosomal RNA, 492 nt
Filed under: uncultured bacterium
Lineage: Bacteria
Description: partial 16S ribosomal RNA
Rfam family: Bacterial small subunit ribosomal RNA
Source: RNAcentral
AGUGAACGCUGGCGGUAGGCCUAACACAUGCAAGUCGAACGGCAGCACAGUAAGAGCUUGCUCUUACGGGUGGCGAGUGGCGGACGGGUGAGGAAUACAUCGGAAUCUACUUUUUCGUGGGGGAUAACGUAGGGAAACUUACGCUAAUACCGCAUACGACCUACGGGUGAAAGCAGGGGUUCUUCGGACCUUGCGCGAUUGAAUGAGCCGAUGUCGGAUUAGCUAGUUGGCGGGGUAAAGGCCCACCAAGGCGACGAUCCGUAGCUGGUCUGAGAGGAUGAUCAGCCACACUGGAACUGAGACACGGUCCAGACUCCUACGGGAGGCAGCAGUGGGGAAUAUUAGACAAUGGGCGCAAGCCUGAUCCAGCCAUACCGCGUGGGUGAAGAAGGCCUUCGGGUUGUAAAGCCCUUUUGUUGGGAAAGAAAAGCAGCAGGUUAAUACCCCGCUGUUCUGACGGUACCCAAAGAAUAAGCACCGGCUAACUUCGUG